RNAcentral lists this unclassified non-coding RNA (202 nucleotides) under Hevea brasiliensis (rubber tree). Lineage: Eukaryota; Viridiplantae; Streptophyta; Magnoliopsida; Malpighiales; Euphorbiaceae. The record is from RNAcentral.
AGGGAAAGAGCUCAAAAUGAAGAGCAACAGCAGCAGGUAUUUGAAACAAAUUUAUAUCAAGGGCCUAGUCAAAAUGAUGAUGUUGAUAUGGAUGAUGACACUAUUCCCGUGGUAGUUAAGCCAGGACACAUUCGCUUUGAGCCAGUUGGAAAAGUUGUUACUGAUCAGGCUGAGCAGCAAAAGCAAAACCAUUUCCCUAAGG